GUGCUUGCUUUGGCCACACGUAAACUGAAAUUGGAAUGAUACAGAGAAGAUUAGUAUGGUCCCCAUGCGAGGAUGACAGGAAGGCAAAUAAUAAACUUUCCAAGUUGAG
This is a small nuclear RNA of Loxodonta africana (African savanna elephant), 109 nucleotides long. The record is from Ensembl. NCBI's taxonomy places the organism in Eukaryota, Metazoa, Chordata, Mammalia, Proboscidea, Elephantidae.